CCCUUAGAUGUCCUGGGCUGCACGCGCGCUACACUGAUGUGUCCAGUAAGCACCUAACCUCUUCCGAAAGGAACGGGUAACCUUUGCAAAGCACAUCGUGAUGGGGAUAGAUUAUUGCAAUUAUUAGUCUUGAACGAGGAAUUCCUAGUAAGCACAAGUCAUCAGCUUGUGUUGAUUACGUCCCUGCCCUUUGUACACACCGCCCGUCGCUCCUACCGAUUGAAUGUUCCGGUGAGCUCUUCGGACUGCUCGGUCUGCAGUUUCUGCGUUCCGUGCGGAAAGUUGCGCAAACCUUAACAUUUAGAGGAAGGAGAAGUCGUAACA
RNAcentral lists this ribosomal RNA (324 nucleotides) under uncultured eukaryote. RNAcentral describes it as "partial 18S ribosomal RNA". It matches the Rfam family "Eukaryotic small subunit ribosomal RNA", at positions 1470 to 1796 of the family's 1831-position model. The record is from RNAcentral.